UACGGAGGAUGCAAGCGUUGUUCGGAUUCACUGGGCGUAAAGGGUGCGCAGGUGGGUUGGCAAGUUCGAUGUGAAAGCCCCGGGCUUAACCCGGGAAUGGCAUUGGAAACUGCUGAUCUGGAGGAUCGGAGGGGGGACUGGAAUUCUUGGUGUAGCAGUGAAAUGCGUAGAUAUCAAGAGGAACACCAGUGGCGAAGGCGAGUCCCUGGACGAUACCUGACACUGAGGCACGAAAGCCAAGGGAGCAAACAGG
Molecule: ribosomal RNA, 253 nt
Filed under: uncultured bacterium
Lineage: Bacteria
Description: partial 16S ribosomal RNA
Rfam family: Bacterial small subunit ribosomal RNA
Source: RNAcentral